UGGGGAAUCUUGCACAAUGGGGGAAACCCUGAUGCAGCGACGCCGCGUGAGCGAUGAAGCCCUUCGGGGCGUAAAGCUCUUUCGGCAGGGAAGAUAAUGACGGUACCUGCAGAAGCAGCUGCGGCUAACUACGUGCCAGCAGCCGCGGUAAUACGUAGGCAGCAAGCGUUGUUCGGAGUUACUGGGCGUAAAGGGCGCGUAGGCGGCCGUUCAAGUUUGGCGUGAAAUCUCCCGGCUCAACCGGGAGGGUGCGCCGAAUACUGAGUGGCUAGAGUGCGGGAGAGGAAAGUGGAAUUCCUGGUGUAGCGGUGAAAUGCGUAGAUAUCAGGAGGAACACCGGUGGUGUAGACGGCUUUCUGGACCGUGACUGACGCUGAGGCGCGAAAGCGUGGGUAGCAAACAGG
RNAcentral lists this ribosomal RNA (404 nucleotides) under uncultured bacterium. RNAcentral's name for it is "bacterial SSU rRNA". It matches the Rfam family "Bacterial small subunit ribosomal RNA", at positions 355 to 776 of the family's 1533-position model. The record is from RNAcentral.